This is an RNA transcript of Mugil cephalus (flathead mullet), 4125 nucleotides long. It is a transcript of the gene named T-cell differentiation antigen CD6-like, with no coding region annotated. The transcript is spliced from 13 exons. The record is from RefSeq and is a predicted model, not a curated record. NCBI's taxonomy places the organism in Eukaryota, Metazoa, Chordata, Actinopteri, Mugiliformes, Mugilidae.
GAGAGGAAACCACACCGUGCAGAGACGAGCCGAGCGCAUCAGUUUCACAUUUAACUGAGCCGAGACAGGAGAGGAUAUUUGCCCGUCUGUCUCUCGACAACAUGAAGCUGAUGAAUUGUAUUCUAAUCGUGGCGCUGAGCUGUCUCUGGCAAGAGCCGGGUCGUGUCCACGUGAGAGCCGAAGAAAACACCACCGCGGCAAUGAUGCCAGAGGAGUUUACGAACGACGUGGAUGUAAAAGGUCUCGGUGGCAGAUGCAGCUGGACCCUGACGAUGUCUGGGAACGGGAGCGACGUCACGGUGGCUCUGACGUCAGACUCUGCAGAUGCGCUCGCCGAACUCAUCUGUCAGGACCUCGACUGUGGCGGCGUCUACCGCCUCAACAAAACCCCCCCCCCUCCAAACACCACGUGUUUCCAGGAGUGUUCGUACCAGGACCGAGGCUUGAAGAACUGCUCUGAGAGUGUGGAGCCCGACUGCACCGUGAUCGCCAGAGUGGACUGUGGCCACCAGGCCGUGCGUCUGGCAGGGGGUCCGGACCGCUGUGCUGGACGGGUGGAGCUGUGGCGAGACGGGACGUGGGGGACGGUGUGCGACGACGAGUGGGACAUGACGGACGCCAACGUGGUGUGCGCCCAGCUGGACUGCGGCUACGCCCUCAAUGUGACGGGGCAGGGCGGCUCCUUCCCCCCGGGCAGAGGACCCAUCCACCGGGACGACCUGAACUGCACCGGCAGCGAGGACAACCUGUGGGACUGCCCCGCUCAGCAGGACGAAUCCGACUGUGGACACAAGGAGGACGCUGGGGUCGUGUGCUCAGAGAUGAGGGCCGUCAGACUGACUGGAGGUCUGGACCGCUGCGCCGGUAAAGUGGAGAUCCACCGAAACGGGAGCUGGGGGACGGUGUGCGACAACUGCUGGAAUAAACAGACGGCCGCCAUGGUCUGCUCCAUGCUGCAGUGUGGCGCCGAGCCGCAACAGUUCUCCCAGUUCGACCCCCCCCUCGCCCACAACAACGGGACCCAGUGGUACUACAUGUGUGACAGAGCUCAUCAGAGUCUGUGGGACUGCAAGGAGUUAAAGGACAAACCUCAUCUGUGUAAAUCCUCUAAAGCAUCUGGAGUCAUCUGUAAAGGUUCCCUCGGGUUUCCUUCACCCACCGUAGAUAAUACAUCCACAACGCCCGACUGGAUAGCUUCUACUAUCGCAGCAACCACACCCGGUCCUCCCGGACCUCAGACUUGGACUCUGCCGCUCUUCAGCACCAUCGCUCUGAGUGUGGUUCUCCUCGUGGUUCUCGUCACAAACACGACACUCUGCUGCCAUUACAAGAAGCGACACGCUUUCUUACUGCAGCAGACGCGGACUAACCCCGGGUCGUCCUCCAGACCCAAUCACAACGACUACAAAGACACCGUGAACCUGGUGAAAGUCACGACCAACCCCCCGGACGUGCCCUCCAAUCCCAGGUAUCUGUGGACCCAGCUUAGUAGUGCAGACAGCACGUCAGUAGAUACAGACUAUGAGCAGUAUGACCCAAGCAAUGACCCGUCUCUCGGUUUAUCCACCUUUCGCAAUUCUCAGCGCUACAGAACAGACGUGAACCCCGCAAUGAAGCCUCCCGGUCUUGUCAGCCUCUCUGAGGAAGGUCUCGAAGCCAAUAAUGAAAAAGCGGCGCUGGCAGACUUCAUAAACCGUAACGGCGGCCCUCCAGAUCCCCAGCAGAACCGAGCGUCCAAGAUGUCCGCCGACUCCUUCGACAGCUCCAGCACCUCCUCCGGAGAAUGCUACCAAAACGUGGACAGUAACUACAUCAACGCUCAAGAUUUAGAGAAAACAACAAGUUGCCAAAUACAUCUGAGACUUAUACAAGAAUACAAACCUUAAUUUCAAUGUGUGGGCGGCUGCAGCUCAGAGAAUUGGUAGAAACCCGACAAUUCAUUUCACACCUUCGUGUGGGAGGAUGUGAAACGUGAAAGUCAGACGAAUACCGUUUCCUUACAAGUCUUCUCAAACAUCGCAGAGCCCGGAGUGAGCCAGUCCUCUGCUCGCAACUAUGACCCUUCGACCUACUCGAAUUUUCCGCUUCUUGGACAAGGAGGGAGCGGUCAAAGUUCAGACGACGACUACUCCCCCGUGAGCCCAGAGUGAAAGCGUUUCCCCGAGGACGACGAUGAUGAUGAUGAUGAACCGAAAGGCAUCCAGGUCACUGCGGCUGAGAAAGUGAGGAUGGAGGUUUUGAGAAAUUAAACACAACAAAGCGGAGAUGGGUCUCCUGUUUCCACCGAGAGAAAAGAAAAGUUUUGCAGGCUAGAGAAGCUCAUAAAAUGUGAAUUAAAACUCAGCUCCGUUUGGCUGAAAUCUGGGUUAAAACAUGAACCAAAUCCCACGUGUGAAGGAGCAGUGAGUAAAAAUUAGAAUUAUUUUUUUAAUCCGUGUUUAAUCACCUGAAUCUAUUAACAGAGGAGCUGAGGGGGAAUUAUUCAAUUGGUUGCAAUUUACAAACUCACCACUAGGUGUCACUAAAUCUACACACUGGUCCUUCAAUGUAUCUUAAAAUUCUGUGAAUGUAGAAGUAUUGUAAUAUAGUGUGUGUGUAUAUAUAUAUAUAGAUGUAUUUUUUUAGACUUCUUUUAUAUUCUAAUUGCAAAGAAAAUGUAAUAACUUGCAUCUAUUUGAAUAAUGUCCAUUUAAGUUCAAACUGUUGAGGUACUUUCUGUCGCAGGAAGUUCGUGGCUAAAAGUAUGUGGACACCUAAAUGUUAUUCAUUAACGCAAGGUUGUACUAUUAUUAAUAUAGUACAUCAUGUAAUCCCAAAUACACUCAGUGUAUCUUAUAUUAAUGUACAGGUCAAUGUAUCAAUCAAACUUUAUUUAUACAGCACUUUUCAUACAUAAAACAUGCAACACAAAGUGUUUUACCUUAAAAAACAAACACUCCUAAACCCCCCAUGACCCAGACCCAUGAUUCAUGCACACACCUUAUCUCCAGAUGAAGUUGAGGUUGUGUCGUUGGAAAACGAAUCUCUCAAACUCUCAGAAUUAGAACACUAUUGUCUAAAAGUGUCUUUUAUCGUGAGCAUAUUCACACUGUGGCCCAGUCCAGUAAUAAUGAACAACCCCUAGAGCAAACGCAUGCAAAGGUGUCCACAUACUUUCGGCUAAUAAAGUGCUGUUAUUGUUUGCCAAACUUCUCCCAUUUCAAACUAUUGAUGUCCACCACAAGGUGGCACUACAGCCUUGUUAGUGACUUGCAGGAUCCUUGUUAGUGUUGAGAUGUUCUUUCAUGUAAAACUACAGCGAAACAAACAAAGAAAUAAAAUGUUUCCCCGCAGCGAUGUUUACUAAGUGUGUAACACUUUCAGAACAAAUACUUACAAACAGUGUUUGUACUGAGAGGUCCAAACACUGCGCGGUGAAGAGGGUCUGAGCGGAGCGGGGGGAUUCCUGGAUGGUGAUCAUGGGCCAACAUAAACCAUCAGCGUGAUUUGAAACUAGACCUGGCUCUUCUUGGUCCAUUACAUCUGCAGCAGCUGCAGAGCAUCAGUGCUUUCCCCGCUGAUCCCGAGCGAUGCCUCGAAUCAAAGCGAUGUCUUGUUUUGUACGAGUUAAUAUGACAAACUGCUUCAAAGCGCUGUAAAACCUUCAGCAAGGGGGUGGCUGUGCUGAAUGCAGGGAUAAACACGGAUUAGCUGCAGCUCAGCUAACGUGAGAAGAGGGAGUGAUGAUGCAUUAGGCUGAUAACCAGCAGAAUUGGGUGUUUUUGGACUAGAAGGUAUUUGGCAAAGAAGAAGAAGAAGAACAGGAGGAGGAGGUGGAGGAAGAGCGGGAUGAUUGUGUGUUGGAGUGUGGACGGGAGGGGGGGGAUCGGAGUUGAAGCUGAGGAGAAAAGGAGGAGGUGGAUGGAGAAGCCGGCGAAGAUAAAAAGUGUCUCAGAGAAUCAUAUAUUACGCUCAAAUUUAGUCCAGAGCUCCGCAUCGAGAUAAACACGCGAAUUAACGACCAGAUCUCCUUAUGAAACUCAAUCUCUUUCACAUGCCAGAGAAUCCAGGACACACACACACACACGCACACACACACACACACACACACACACACACACACACACACACACACACCACUCAACA